RNAcentral lists this microRNA (24 nucleotides) under Brachypodium distachyon (stiff brome). RNAcentral describes it as "bdi-miR7711-5p.1". Lineage: Eukaryota; Viridiplantae; Streptophyta; Magnoliopsida; Poales; Poaceae. The record is from miRBase by way of RNAcentral.
UACUUAGCCUCUUUGACAAUCUUG